Molecule: ribosomal RNA, 257 nt
Filed under: uncultured bacterium
Lineage: Bacteria
Description: partial 16S ribosomal RNA
Rfam family: Bacterial small subunit ribosomal RNA
Source: RNAcentral
UACAGAGACCUCAAGCGUUAUCCGGAAUCAUUGGGCGUAAAGCGUUCCGAUAGGUGGUUUUGAAAGUCUUGGGUAAAAGCCAGAAGCUUAACUUCUGCGUUUGCUUAAGAUACUGCAAAACUAGAGGGGCAAAGAGGUGCUUGGAACGAAUGGUGUAGUAGUGAAAUGCGUUGAUAUCAUUCGGAACACCGAAAGCGAAGGCAGAGCACUGGGUGCCACCUGACACUGCUAGGACGAAAGCGUGGGGAGCGAAUGGG